UGGCAGUGGAUGGAAAUUCAAUCCUGAGGCCUAGAACAAGAUGAUGUUCAUCAGUUGGCUCCAGGCAUUUGAAAUAACAUAAGGAUUGGAAUGAAGUCAGUCUGAAGGCAGCAAGAAUAGACGAGAGGAGGGAUCUUAUAUAUUUCAUCUACAGUACUUCUAUGUUAAAAGUGAUAAAUGGAAGAUGAAAAAUAUGGUUACACGAGAAUAUAUUAGUCCUGUUACUGUAUGUCUUCCACAAGGCAACUAGUUGUCUGUAGUUUUUCGAGUUUUACAACACCAGCACAGCCCAGUUAUGACACUUGCACCGAUACUGUCGACCCUCUGUGACUGCAAUAAGUCUCAAAAUUUAGAUCUUUCCCUUAAGAUGUUACAGGUGACAUAAGUUUUGAUCUAAUCAAAUCUUAAAGAAAAGGCUUUGAGAAAAAAUGAUGCCUAGAUCUUGUAAACUAAGGAAAAGAAGAUUAAUGGAUCCACGAACUUGGUAUCAACACUAUGAUACAUGAUAUCCCCAUCAUACUUCUCCAAGACUACUGGGGAGCUAACAACAGUAGCUAGAGACUCCACUUCACUCUCAUCUGUUGGUAACUGCAGCAAGCAGACAGCAUUGGUGCCAAGAGUGUAGCGUGUCUUGCUCAAAAGGAAAAAUCCACUCCUCAUACUUUCUUCCAGGCUCAUGUUACUCUAAAAUUGUAAAAGAAUUUAAAAUUAUGGAUCUAAGAAAUUAAACUGCAAUAAAAACUGAAAUACA
Molecule: long non-coding RNA, 751 nt
Organism: Homarus americanus (American lobster)
Lineage: Eukaryota; Metazoa; Arthropoda; Malacostraca; Decapoda; Nephropidae
Exons: 5
Source: RefSeq, a predicted model, not a curated record